UAAUACGAAGGGGGCUAGCGUUGCUCGGAAUUACUGGGCGUAAAGGGUGUGUAGGCGGAUACUUAAGUCGGGGGUGAAAGCCCAGGGCUCAACCCUGGAAUAGCCUUCGAUACUGGGUAUCUUGAGUUCGGGAGAGGUAAGUGGAACUCCGAGUGUAGAGGUGAAAUUCGUAGAUAUUCGGAAGAACACCAGUGGCGAAGGCGACUUACUGGCCCGAUACUGACGCUGAAACACGAAAGCGUGGGGAGCAAACAGGAUUAGAUACCCUGGUAGUCCACGCUGUAAACGAUGAGUGCUAGUUGUCGGCAUGCAUGCAUGUCGGUGACGCAGCUAACGCAUUAAGCACUCCGCCUGGGGAGUACGGUCGCAAGAUUA
RNAcentral lists this ribosomal RNA (375 nucleotides) under uncultured bacterium. RNAcentral describes it as "bacterial SSU rRNA". It matches the Rfam family "Bacterial small subunit ribosomal RNA", at positions 521 to 896 of the family's 1533-position model. The record is from RNAcentral.